UGAACGCUGGCGGCGUGCUUAACACAUGCAAGUCGAACGGUAACAGAAAGAGCUUGCUCUUUGCUGACGAGUGGCGCACGGGUGAGUAAUAUAUAGUUAAUGUGCCUCGAAGACUGGGAUAGCCACUGGAAACGGUGAUUAAUACUAGAUAGUCCUUCUAAACAUAAGUUUAGUCGGUAAACGUUUUUUCGCUUCGAGAUCAGACUAUAUCCCAUCAGCUUGUUGGUAGUGUAAGAGACUACCAAGGCUAUGACGGGUAGCGGGUUUGAGAGGAUGAUCCGCCACACUGGUACUGAGACACGGACCAGACUCCUACGGGAGGCAGCAGUGAGGAAUAUUGCACAAUGGGGGAAACCCUGAUGCAGCAACGCCGCGUGGAGGAUGACGCAUUUCGGUGUGUAAACUCCUUUUAUGAGUCAAGAAAAUGACGGUAGCUCAUGAAUAAGCACCGGCUAACUCC
This 460-nucleotide ribosomal RNA is filed under the name uncultured bacterium. Its description in RNAcentral is "bacterial SSU rRNA". It matches the Rfam family "Bacterial small subunit ribosomal RNA", at positions 30 to 504 of the family's 1533-position model. The record is from RNAcentral.